CACCGCGGUUAUACGAGAGGCUCAAGUUGACAGACAACGGCGUAAAGAGUGGUUAAGGCAAUUAUAAAACUAAAGCGGAACACCCUCAUAGCUGUUAUACGCUUCCGAGGGUAUGAACUCCAACUACGAAAGUGGCUUUAUAUAACCUGAACCCACGAAAGCUAAGAAA
RNAcentral lists this ribosomal RNA (169 nucleotides) under Craterognathus plagiotaenia (barcheek trevally). Its description in RNAcentral is "partial 12S rRNA". The record is from RNAcentral. Lineage: Eukaryota; Metazoa; Chordata; Actinopteri; Carangiformes; Carangidae.